CACGUAGUUAGCCGGUGCUUAUUCUUCAGGUACCGUCAUUAGCCGAGGAUAUUAGCCCCAACCGCUUCUUCCCUGACAAAAGAGCUUUACAACCCGAAGGCCUUCUUCACUCACGCGGCAUUGCUGGAUCAGGCUUGCGCCCAUUGUCCAAAAUUCCCCACUGCUGCCUCCCGUAGGAGUCUGGACCGUGUCUCAGUUCCAGUGUGGCUGGUCGUCCUCUCAGACCAGCUACUGAUCGUUGCCUUGGUAGGCCUUUACCCUACCAACUAGCUAAUCAGAUAUCGGCCGCUCCACGAGCACAAGGUCUUGCGAUCCCCUGCUUUCAUCCGUAGAUCGUAUGCGGUAUUAGCGUAACUUUCGCUACGUUAUCCCCCACUCCUGGGUACGUUCCGAUAUAUUACUCACCCGUUCGCCACUCGCCGCCAGGUUGCCCCGCGCUGCCGUUCGACUUGCAUGUGUAAAGCAUGCCGCCAGCGUUCAAUCUGAGCCAGGAUCAAA
This 498-nucleotide ribosomal RNA is filed under the name uncultured Oxalobacteraceae bacterium. RNAcentral's name for it is "partial 16S ribosomal RNA". The record is from RNAcentral. Lineage: Bacteria; Pseudomonadati; Pseudomonadota; Betaproteobacteria; Burkholderiales; Oxalobacteraceae.